ACCCCACCCCACCCCCAGCCCGUUAGCAUCCUCGCGGCUGGAUCCAUUUGCCUCGAGUCCUUGUGGCUGGGCCUUCGGCGGGCUCUUGAAGUGAAGAGAAAGGCCUUUCCUUGGCCCGGGCUAGCCGGGUUUGGGUGUGAAAGAAGGCACGAGAGUGUCGGGCGUGCUGGAGACCGACAGUGGGGAGAAUCGGGACGCAGAAUCGAGAUGACUUCCUCCGAACCUACAAAGCAACGUCUGUUUGAUCCGGUCCUCGUGCAGAAAGGUUCGGUGAAGAUGAACAGAGCAGGUCGCCAAAGCAGCUCCUGCUUUGAAGAGAAAUUGCCCUUGUUUGAGAAAUGCCUUUGUGGUAGGUGAAUCCUUCCCUAAGAAGGCACCCUUUCCCGGUGCUUUAUUUCUCUUCACCUCCACUCAGAGCUUCAAGGGGCUUGUUUCACGUGCCACACGUUAUGUCACGUUCUUCGAAAUGUGAUGGUCAUCCUGCUGGGUUUGGAACUUUGCCAUGGAUUUUGCCAUCAAGCUCCUGGAGGAAACUCCUGAGAUGCCACCAGGUUCACAAGCAUCCACAGAAGGGGUCCAAAUGAUGUCAGAAUGGCAGCUGCAUCUCCACACUUUUGGAGCCUUGUCUCCUUUUCAUAUGCAUUCUAUAUACCCAGCCAAGGGAGAAAACAUGUAUGGCUUCACCAACAGCAUGUGGCCAAGCAACUCUCCAAAAUUGGGAAUCAGCCCAGAAGCACCAUGAAGUGGCUUGUAAUGUCAUCUUCUAAAAUCAAGACUUCUAAUAUAUUACAAAAUUGGUGGAGCUGUAUUUCUAGGGCAGCACAUCUCCUCUCGAUGUACAUUUUUUAAAAAUUUUUGAUAAAAUUGUAACACAUGGAUUUCAAAACAGUUUUUGCAGAUGUGUGUAUCAGUUACCAGUAAGAGAGUCGUGGCAAGCUGUAACGUCUACUGUGUCAACACUCAGCGGCAAACCCGAGUGUGAUGCUGAGAAAUGUAUGAAGUCAACCAAUGAGUCAUUGCUCAAUGUUCUGUUUCACAGUUCAAGCUGGCACUUUGCUCUGUCUUCCCUACUGAAUGUACAUGUCGUUCUGACAGCACAAAAAUGAAGCCAUGGAUGCAGCUGCAGUAAGCACAAAGGAAUCAGGCAAAUCUGUCUUGGCUGCAUGAUAUGUGGCAUUUCAGUCUAAUUCUUGACUUUGGAUAUUAAACAUGACCUGGCAUUGUAAUUUCACAGCUCUGGGUUUUAAUGUACACUAAUUAUACAGCAACAUGGAUAACCAUCAAAUGCCAUGGGCACCAAGCUAGAUGGUAUAAAUAUCCCAGAGAAGAAUGACCCUGAAGCUUUGAAGAAGGAAGCAUGCAGAAAGUUGCUUAGCAGUUUUCUAGUUGGCUGCCCUUGCGUUUCAGUGAAUGUGGCUGAAUGUCUUCUGAUGACAAUCCUGAAAGAUAAACUGCAGAGGUGAGGAAGUAAAUCAGAAGCAGGCCUGUUUUAUGUCAACUUUACUCAACUCCUUUCUUCACUGAAGAUGUUAUACUGUAAUAAUUUUCUGAAUCCCUUUUUAAUUAGGGAGAAAAAUGAAACAAAAUUGUUUCAGCUCCCUAGGAACUGUCAUUUGUAGCUGCAUACCCAUUGUUGCAGACAAUGAAGACUUUGUAUCUUGUAAUAAUUAAAGAAUAUAAAAACAUCGCUUUCAGUACUAAAACAAUAUAUUUAAUGGCUGCCUGGAAGUAAUAUUCAGCUUGUUGAAAUAUGUUGCACAAUAUUUCAGACUGAUAAUUUUCAAAUAGAAAAGUAUGCUGGGGGAAAAAGAGGUCACAUAUUAUCUGCUGCCACUGGACACUGUUGUGGUGCAGGUCAGUGAACAAUAAUAAGUAUUUGCUUUAUACAAACCACUUUUCAAAAUGCAGGUACGACCACAAUUGAGCACAAAAUUUCAAUUGCUCUGCAAGACAAGUGUUAAGUGAGUUUUGCCCAGGGAUGCUAUUCAGCAGGUUCUGACAGGUUCUGGAGAACUGAAAUGUUGAGUAGUUCAGAGAACCGGCAAAUACCACCUCUGGCUGGCCCCAGAGUGGGGUGGGAAUGGAGAUUUUGCAAUAUCCUUCCCUUGGAGUAGGGUGGGAUGGAGAUUUUGCAGUAUCCGUCCCCUGCCAUGCCCACCAAGCCAUACCCACAGAACCGGUAGUAAAAAAAUUUGGAUUUCACCACCGGUUUUGCCCCAUUUUAUGACCUUUCUUGCCACAGUUGUUAAGGGAAUCACUACAGUUGUUAAGUUAGGAACAUGGUUAUUAAAUGAAUCUGGUUUCCCUAUUAAUUUUGCUUGUCAGAAGUUGAUCACAUGACCUGGGACACUGCAACCAUCAUAAAUACAUGUCAGUUGCCAAGUGUCCAAAUUUUGAUCAUGUGAGCAUGAGAAUGCUGCAAUGGUCAUAAGUGUGUCACUUUUUUCAGUGCCAUUCAAACUUUGAACAGUCAUUAAACAAAAGAUUGUAAGUCAAGGACUAUCCCUAAAAGAUGGAUUCCCAAGCACUAUAUACCUAUAGUACCAACUGCAGAUCAUUUAUAGAUCACACAUAAUGAGGAUUCCCACCAACUCUGGCUUAGAAUAGGCAUUGCUAUGCUAAUCCCUCUUCCACUGUUACCUUUUAAUCUCUGAAUUAUGAACAAAUUGUUUUCAUUUCCUUAGGAAUACAAUACACAAAAAAUAGAGCUAAACUGCAAAUUGUUGAAUUUAAAAUAACAGCCUGGAAAUAAAUAUGAGACAUGGAGCAAAAGAAAGCAUCUCGAAGGUCUUCUGGAGAAUUGAUGAAUGUAUAGUUUUUCAGACUGUUUUUUAGUCUGCUGUUCAGACUCUGUCCUUCGUUGAAUGGGACAUUUUUGUUACUACAGUUGCCCUAUUUCUUAUUUACCACACUACAAAAUUAAUGGUGGUGUUAUUUUCUAUAGUUUACAAGGAAUUAGUAUUUAAUAAAGGUGCAAUAGUUUUGGCAUUUAAAAAAAGGUAAAACUAAUUCAUUAAAAAAACAUAAAAUGCUAUUUAAUAUCUACACAAAGCCAUUAAGUGAUACUAUUCAGUGGCUGAGGUAUGAAAUAUCAAUGAGUAGAAGGAACCCAGUUGUAUCUCUGUAUCCCAAAUAGGCAUGAAUAAUGGUAGAAGUCUUGACCCAGUGUCACAGGGCUGUAAAAAUCGGGAUCUAUAGCAACAAUGAGAUUUAAAUUUUAAAAAAAUAAGAAAUUGUUAUUAUUUCUUAAGCACCAUUGCCCAGGAGAUGCCCAGUUGGGGAUUCCUUUCAUGUCCCUGUUAAAUGCCCACUAAAGUGAUACCUAUUUAUCUGACUGACAUUAACUCUAGAUCGGGUUUUGUGCCCACAGAAUAAACUGAUCUAUAAUCUUGGGUGCUCUUAGACCAACAGCUUUUGCUGAAACAAUACAUGGAAACUGCAUCAAGGACACCUUUGAUUACUUUUGACUUCUGUGUCAUUACAGCUAUUCCUAGUACAUUCUCCUUUUCAUAUCUUGAUUGGACUAUUAUGAGUGUACGUGGGACAUGCCCUUGUCUGGGCAUGUCCCAUGUACAGCUGGUAGAAAAUGCAACUUCCUGUGGAGUAAUGACAAUGCCCUGAUAUUGUCAUGUAACGGUCUGCAUUAUUUUAUGGUUGUUUAUGGGUGAAGUUCAAGGUGCUAAUAAGUUAUAAACCACUAAAACUCACCUAACCUUUAGCUGUGCAGAAUAGUGCAUUUUAGGGUAAUGAUUUUGAAACCAAGGUACCUCAAAUGAGUUAACUUAUAGAAUGCGCUCCAAAUUUGGAACCCCGUGACUCCUGUGGAAUUGAAAUUGGGCAUAUUUUAUAAAACAUUUUAUAACAUAAUACAAAAUGUCACAAAACAUUUCCUGUGCUCAAUUGCUGAUGUUUUACUAUGCUGUAAAAUUCAACACGGGCCAUUUUCAAGGCAGAUACAUCUCUGAAUAGCUCCCUGAUUUUUUUUGAAAAGUUUCCCCUGAAAGCACUACCUUAGUUCUGCCAUUGUUGAAGGCAUCGAGGAAUCUGGUAAUUCAUAUCUCUGAAAUGAUGACCUAACAGAUCACGGGUUGUCUAGUAACCUUAUAAUGCUCUACAAGCCUGCCACUAAGGAGUUUGUGAGGCUAUUUGCUCCAAACAAAAUGUGUCCACCAAGCAAUGCUGGUAGACAGUGCAUAAUAAGAGUCCUGCUUUCCAUUAACAAUUGUGGAGGAGACAUUCUUUGCCAGAGUUCCUUCCUGUGAAAUCAUCACCCACAACCUUUUUAACAUACAGAAAGCUUAUUCACAUAUGGGUGUUUAAGUGGGCAUUUGGGGAUUGAAUGGUCUGGUGAAAUAUGCAUAUGUGGGCCGGGGGGGUACUACUUCUUCCUGUUUUAUUGCUAUUGUGCCAUUGAUUUCGUUGUGAUACACAAUGUGUGUGUGUGUGUUUGUGUAUGUACACACAUACACGUAUAUAUAUUAUAAAACUUUUGUAAGUUGCUUAGGUUCACUUGAUUGAAGUGACAUUAAAGCAUUUGUGACACAUGGAAUAUAAGCUAGAUCUUUUUAAAACGUUUCUUUGGGUAGAUGGGCAGUUAUGAGCAUUUGUUUAAUUGAUAAAUAAAUGUUUUUAUUUGUAUUUACCAUGCUAUUAAAAACUGCCCUGCAUAAAAGAAA
Long non-coding RNA from Pantherophis guttatus, 4676 nucleotides. RefSeq lists it as uncharacterized. The record is from RefSeq and is a predicted model, not a curated record. NCBI's taxonomy places the organism in Eukaryota, Metazoa, Chordata, Lepidosauria, Squamata, Colubridae.